AGUGAUGGUAAGAAGUGAUUCAAAGAUACCGAAAGCAGGUGGGGAGGGAGCGGGUAGACUUGCUACCAGGCUCUUCUCCAAACUCCUGCCUCUCCUCUCAGUCCCCUCACCGUCAAGGCUUUGUUAACAGUGGAAGAGCUUUGGGGAAGAUGCCGAGAUGCCACGGUGAUGCUCAGCAGAGCCAGUGUGCCAGAAUCUGUCCAGCAGUUACAGACCCAGAAGGACGGUGGAAAUUCAGAGCAUGCUUACCAAAAGUGCCCACGACCUCUCGAAACAGGAAGCAGGUUCUGUUGGGUGAAAGAGAACUCCACAGCAGCCAUCAAGGACACCUACAUGGACAAGAAGCACCUUUCACCGACUCCGUCUGAGGGUGGCUCCUCUCUGGCGUGGUGGUUAAGAUAAAGACGCACAGGACCACUGUCAUCCAUGGGCACCAUCUCUGGCACAUCCAUAAGUACAGUCACUUUGAGACAUACUACAAGAAUGUGUCUGCGCACCUGUUCCCUUUUUAGGGAUGUGCACCUCAGCAACGUCACCAUGGCCCCAGAGAAAGACAGCGCACUUGCGUGUGCUCAAGGUCACCAAGGUCACUGGUACCAAGAAGCAAUUUUGAAAGUUCUGAGAGAAUGCAGGCCAACUCCCCAGAACACGAUACAGUUAUUUUCUAACUUUACAGGGAUUAAAAAAAUAAUAAUAAAGUAGAUGGAUCUAUGCCAAGGCCAGGGACCUGGUGGAGAAACAAUGGGCCUCUGUUGGAGAGGGAAGGCUGUAAAGGCCAGUUUGUGUUUAGGCAACAUGGUGCUGAUAUAGGUGUUCGGUGUGAGUCAGCUAAAAUGUAGCUGACACUGGACGUGGGACAGUGGACAAUGACUUGGCACAAAAUGGUUGACCCUGGAUGUCUGGGGAACCCCAAAAUAAACAGUGAUUUAACAUGUUA
Molecule: long non-coding RNA, 937 nt
Organism: Peromyscus eremicus (cactus mouse)
Lineage: Eukaryota; Metazoa; Chordata; Mammalia; Rodentia; Cricetidae
Exons: 2
Source: RefSeq, a predicted model, not a curated record